Long non-coding RNA from Musa acuminata AAA Group (dessert banana), 3269 nucleotides. RefSeq lists it as uncharacterized. The record is from RefSeq and is a predicted model, not a curated record. Lineage: Eukaryota; Viridiplantae; Streptophyta; Magnoliopsida; Zingiberales; Musaceae. The transcript is spliced from 5 exons.
CUUAGUUGUGCGUGUACAUAUGCAUGCGAGUGAUCGGCUUGCAGGACGAUGCGACGACAAGCUCGACUUUGUUUCAUCUAUUUCCAUGUUCUUUUUGCGUCUUGUAGAGAAGUCGGCCCGUGGGAGGAUGAGCUCGUGGCGAGGCGUCGUGAUAGCAACCCCCUUCCACGAGGAAGAGGAGGAGGAGGAGGAGGCUGAUCCCUUCUAGGUGAUCACUCCCCAUCUUAUUCUCCCGGUUUGAGUAGUCGAUUGAGUAGUCGAUGGAUCUGAGAUUCUUCCUAUCUUUCUCUGUUCUCUUUCGAUUGCUGCCUGAUAGGUUUAUCGUCUAAGGAUUUUGUCAGAUCCGAUGCGGUGCGGUUACUUCGGGGAUUCUCGGCUGACUGUCCCUUUUGAGUAUAUUCUAUAUCGGUAUCUACAGUAAAAGACUUGAACUCUUUCAGUGGCUUUUUCUGGUAGCAGUGACAGAGGCAUGCAAUGGAAGGUCUCCCUAACCCUAAGUUACUUAAAGGCAAGGAUUUGCCCUUUUGUUAAUGGCUAUUGUCUAGGGAGAUGUUUUGUACUCGCCCAUGGAUGGUCAUCAAGUUCAAAGCAAUGUUUCUGCAGAGGGUGACUCAGUUGUGCAAGUAGAACAUGAGGGACUGAGACAAAAUGUAAUUUUCACUACAAUUUCUCUCUCAUUCAUCAAUUGCCAAAUUACUAUGAGCUCAGAAGAUAAAAGGGAAGAGCUCAUGCCUUCACUGCCUCCGUAGCUACCAAAAGGCCUGUGUCAGCCUCAGAAGCCGCUGCACCCCUGAAGAGCAAGAUUGCUAGGCUUCCUAUGUUGAAGUAGAUGAAACAACCACAAUGGUGGGUGACAAAGGAACCAAAAUCUGUUCCCACAAUGCAUUGCCACCCUGGACCAUAUGACCUGUCAAACUCCUGCAGUUUUACAAAUUCCAUUGUAAGAGGAAGAGGAAACAAGACAAUGAAUGGAUGAGUCUUUGUUAGUUAGCCAAGAUACUCGAAAUUACCUUCUUGAUGAAACAGGCUAUCUCAGUGGAAUCUGUGACAUCAAAUUCAUCCAGUGCCUUCCCAGCCAAACGGAGAGCAUCCUGCUGCAUGGUUUGCAGCAUAUCGGUCUCUCCGAUGAUUGCCUGGCUUUCCAGCAUAGUUGGGUGUUUGCUCUGUAGGUUUGAGGAGAAUGGUCGAGCUGAGACCUCUAACGCCAAUGCUAGGUUUUUCAGGGAGAAGGAUUGUUAGUUGUGGGGGAAGGAGAAGCGGUGGUCUCAAUUAUAUCAUACUGGGAUAUGGAGGUAACAUUCGUGGGUGCUGGUGGACGGGCCACGUCUGUUGAAGAUGGAGCUUGUGGCCAGUAGUUGACAUUCCGGAAUAUACCAAUCAGCCCUUUGUAAAAAUGAGGAUAUAUGAGGCCUUGGCGGCAGGGAUCUAAAAUAUUCUUUAGACAAUGGCCAUUGGAUUUGUGCAGCCAGAUUAUUCAUGGAGGUCCCUGGCCGACUCUUCUUCUGAUGAUUUUGUCUCUUGUCCCUUCGUUCAUUCAGUAUUUCUAUGGUAUGAUAGAAGCAGUGGUGAUGUGUGGGUGAUGUCAGACAACGGAUUUUCCAAGGAAGGAUGCCAGUCUGAACAUAUGCUUCUAAGGUAUGGGGUCUAGAAAUUUAGUACAAGCUUCUGCUUCAUAGAUUUAACUUGUGGCUAGAACUGUCUUAAAGGGGGACCUCUGGAAUAGUAUCUAUAGAUUAAGAGUGGUGAUGCUGGAAAUCCGUGGAAGCAGGAAGCCCACUAUUUUUGCUCACUUUUCCAGUGGCUUGAAAUGACAUGCAACUGGUUUGAUUCUUCUGUUCCUUUGAUUCCUCUCUGUCUCUCUCUCUCUCUCUCAAGAAUGCUCAUGUUACUUUGUUGGUGUCCUGCAUCAUCUGAUAUUCGUGGUCAUACUUUAUAAUAUUCAUCAAUUUUGUCCCACAUAUUUCCUGCAAAAUGGCAACUGAUGAGCAGGUGGAGAAGACUGCAGCGCAUUCAGCGCUGAUCGACGAUAUAUUGCAGGCUACAAAAGUGACUGCAGCUGAGACAGGUGUUGGCCGACGAGCAUAGUAGCCACGAGUCCCUUCCUCAGUAGUGUGAUCUUGAUGUGAUCGUCUCCGAGUUCGGAAGCGAAUCAUGUGGUGGAUCCCGGUGAGAUGCUCGCCAACUAUUUGAUUCAAUGCUUCCAUGAGCCAGCGGUAGAAGCCAAAGAAACGACGCCCAUCCGAGCUCGACUGCAGGCCACAGCUGUGCUUUUCUAUCGCAUGGGGAGUCGACGCCGACUUGCGUGUUGCUCUCCCCUCAAUACAAGUCAAGCUGGAUCUUCGGUGGAUCAAUGUGAUCUCCCUCGGCUUGCUUGGAAUUUGUAGGCGACAGUGCAUCUGCUGCCGAUGUCCCAAAUUGACCGCAAUGUGGGUUGACUUCAUGCGGCCGGUCGUACUCGGCUGGCAAUCCAAUGGAUGGACUUGGCGCCUCCCCAUCAAGAACUAUCUAUCAUCUGAUAGCACCUAUCUUUACUGUCUUAAAUCCAGUGAAUAUUUAGUUUUGAUCGGAGAACUGAUGGCCCUCAUCUCUCAUGCAAUAUGCAGUUAAUAGAUUCAAAUACUCGGGUACUAAUCUUGGUGCGAUCAAUUGUCAACAGGCGUUCAUGGAUUCCCCAGAAUGUUUCAGUGCAUCCGAGAGAGAUUGCUUGUUACAAGACUAAGAUGGCACAAGUGUGGGAUGGAAGAAAGAAAAAUCCAACCAAACCACCCGGUUUCUCCGGGCAUGGGAACACAAAGAAUCCGCAGUCAAAAAAGAUAGAAGCCACAAGGGGGUUUCAUCCAUGAACAGAGUCCCCUGGUCUCGUAACAUGUCCAUGUUGGAAUAAUGCCAGAGCUUCCGCUGAUUGACUUCUUGACUUGUAUCGUAGUUAUUACGUGGAUUUUGGUAUGAAGAUGAUAUGUCUGCUGUUUCCCUGUUCUAUGGCGUCUCACCCGUCCAUAUAUGACAUGGUAGACUUUGGUGGCGAGCCUCCAAAGAGUCAAGCAUCUCAUUCCGAUCCGCUUUCUUUCAUAUAUAAUUGGUGUCUUGAAAGCUACGUGAUGAGUAGGAUACGUAUCCCUCUCAAGUUAGUAGUAAUAUAAAACGUUGGAUGGACAUCAUGUGCAGCUCUCUAGACCUACUUACUCGUUCACAUUACUUUGAUGACUCGCAUCGUCUCAAAAUUGUAGUCAACCCGUCGAUACUUGCAAUGUAACAAGUGGCGUUGUGUA